AUUUUAUUAAAGUCUCACUUUUCAUUUAACCUCCAACUACGUCUCCUGGCUCACCACUUUGCUUUGGACGGUAUCCUAUAACUUUUGAAAUUCAUAUUCAGUUUGUCAUCACAGAUUCUGAUAUCAAAUCCCUGUUAACAUUUAUGAGAGCUAGCAUAAGGUUUCAAGUGCUUAUUAACUAACAAAUGUGUUUCUUAUUUUAGAAAAUUUAUGGACUGGCAUUUCAUCAGAAGGGUUCCAAGUGUGCAGAUUUGUAUCCAAAACCAGUCAGAGAUAGAUCCAUGACACGCAUCAACAUUCUGGGACUUCCAGCACAAUCUUGAGCUCAUUCUACAGUCAUAAAGCAUGCACAAUGAUGUGGAACACUACAAAAGCUACAGUAGCAGGUGUAUGAGAUUGGAGCAUUACUCUUAGGCAGCAAAGCUUAUGAGUUAGCUCUGCACACAGGAGACUAUGGCAUCAUAUGGAACGUAAGUGAAAUGCACGGCAUGGGGCUGGAUCCAAAUAGAUGACUUCUGGAGGGAGGAUAACAACAACCCACACAUGUUUUUUUGAGUGUCGUUUUACCUCUCCAGAGUCAAACUGGAAUAACAGCAUAAUCAGUAUCAAAAACAUGAUAACUAUGAACACAGAAGCAGCAAACAUUCUGUUACUGCACCCCCAAGAACAGGCAAAGACAGGAUCGAGUUCUUCUUGAGGAAAAUGCAGAGAAAUAAAAAUAAGCAAGCAAAUAAAUAAAGAAAUAAA
Molecule: long non-coding RNA, 747 nt
Filed under: Coturnix japonica (Japanese quail)
Lineage: Eukaryota; Metazoa; Chordata; Aves; Galliformes; Phasianidae
Description: lncRNA (ENSCJPG00005016450.1)
Source: RNAcentral